CACACUAUCAUUAACUGAAUCCAUAGGUUAAUGAGGCGAACCGGGGGAACUGAAACAUCUAAGUACCCCGAGGAAAAGAAAUCAACCGAGAUUCCCCCAGUAGCGGCGAGCGAACGGGGAGGAGCCCAGAGCCUGAAUCAGUGUGUGUGUUAGUGGAAGCGUCUGGAAAGGCGCGCGAUACAGGGUGACAGCCCCGUACACAAAAAUGCACAUACUGUGAGCUCGAUGAGUAGGGCGGGACACGUGGUAUCCUGUCUGA
RNAcentral lists this ribosomal RNA (259 nucleotides) under Escherichia coli. Its description in RNAcentral is "partial 23S ribosomal RNA". It matches the Rfam family "Bacterial large subunit ribosomal RNA", at positions 144 to 441 of the family's 2925-position model. Lineage: Bacteria; Pseudomonadati; Pseudomonadota; Gammaproteobacteria; Enterobacterales; Enterobacteriaceae. The record is from RNAcentral.